This 429-nucleotide ribosomal RNA is filed under the name Priceomyces carsonii. Its description in RNAcentral is "partial large subunit ribosomal RNA". It matches the Rfam family "Eukaryotic large subunit ribosomal RNA", at positions 122 to 587 of the family's 3401-position model. Lineage: Eukaryota; Fungi; Ascomycota; Pichiomycetes; Serinales; Debaryomycetaceae. The record is from RNAcentral.
CUGGCGCCUUCGGUGUCCGAGUUGUAAUUUGAAGAAGGCUACUUUGGAGUUGGCUCUUGUCUAUGUUCCUUGGAACAGGACGUCACAGAGGGUGAGAAUCCCGUGCGAUGAGAUGCCCAAUUCUUUGUAAAGUGCUUUCGAAGAGUCGAGUUGUUUGGGAAUGCAGCUCUAAGUGGGUGGAGAGACCGAUAGCGAACAAGUACAGUGAUGGAAAGAUGAAAAGAACUUUGAAAAGAGAGUGAAAAAGUACGUGAAAUUGUUGAAAGGGAAGGAUUUGAGAUCAGACUUGGUAUUUUGCAACCUUACCCUCGUGGUGGGGCCCCUGCAGUUUACUGGGCCAGCAUCAGUUUGGAUGAUGGGAUAAUGACUAAGGAAUGUGGCUCUGCUUCGGUGGAGUGUUAUAGACUUGGUUGAUACCGUCUAUCUAGG